CCUACGGGUGGCAGCAGUGGGGAAUAUUGGACAAUGGGGGAAACCCUGAUGCAGCGACGCAGCGUGAGGGAAGACGUCAUUCGUGAUGUAAAGCUUUAUCAGCAGGGGAGAAAAUGACGGUCCCUGACCAAGAAGCCCCGGCUAACUACGUGCGAGAAGGCGUGGUAAUACGUAGGGGGCAGGCGUUAUCCGGAUUUACUGGGUGUAAGGGGAGCGUAGACGGUUGGGCAGGUCUGGAGUGAAAGGCGGGGGCCCAACCCCCGGACUGCACUGGAAACUGUGUAACUGGAGUGCAGGCGAGGUAAGUGGAAUUCGUGGUGUAGCGGUGAAAUGCGUAGAUAUUAGGAGGAACACCGGUGGCGAAGGCGGCUGACUAGACUGUAACUGACGUUGAGGCUCGAAAGCGUGGGUAGCAAACAGGAUUAGAUACCCGGGUAGUC
RNAcentral lists this ribosomal RNA (440 nucleotides) under uncultured bacterium. RNAcentral describes it as "partial 16S ribosomal RNA". It matches the Rfam family "Bacterial small subunit ribosomal RNA", at positions 338 to 795 of the family's 1533-position model. The record is from RNAcentral.